This 450-nucleotide ribosomal RNA is filed under the name uncultured bacterium. Its description in RNAcentral is "partial 16S ribosomal RNA". It matches the Rfam family "Bacterial small subunit ribosomal RNA", at positions 354 to 796 of the family's 1533-position model. The record is from RNAcentral.
GUGGGGAAUCUUCCACAAUGGACGAAAGUCUGAUGGAGCAACGCCGCGUGAGUGAAGAAGGGUUUCGGCUCGUAAAGCUCUGUUGUCGGGGACGAAUGUGCAGUAUUUGAAUAAAGUACUGUAAUGACGGUACCUGACGAGGAAGCCACGGCUAACUACGUGCCAGCAGCCGCGGUAAUACGUAGGUGGCAAGCGUUGUCCGGAAUUAUUGGGCGUAAAGGGAGCGCAGGCGGGAAGGUAAGUCGGUCUUAAAAGUGCGGGGCUCAACCCCGUGAUGGGAUCGAAACUAUCUUUCUUGAGUGCAGGAGAGGAAAGUGGAAUUCCUAGUGUAGCGGUGAAAUGCGUAGAUAUUAGGAGGAACACCAGUGGCGAAGGCGGCUUACUGGACUGUAACUGACGCUGAGGCGCGAAAGUGUGGGGAGCAAACAGGAUUAGAUACCCUGGUAGUCC